AAUCAACGCUGGCGGCGUGCCUCAGACAUGCAAGUCGAACGCGAAAGUUCCCUUCGGGGAGCGAGUAGAGUGGCGCACGGGUGAGUAACACGUAGGUAAUCUACCCUCGAGUGGGGAAUAACUCAGGGAAACUUGAGCUAAUACCGCAUAAUGCAGCGGCACCACAUGGUGACAGUUGUUAAAGCAUUUAUGCGCUUGGGGAGGAGCCUGCGGCAGAUUAGCUAGUUGGUAAGGUAAUGGCUUACCAAGGCAACGAUCUGUAACCGGCCUGAGAGGGCGGACGGUCACACUGACACUGAAUAACGGGUCAGACUCCUACGGGAGGCAGCAGUCGGGAAUUUUGGGCAAUGGGCGAAAGCCUGACCCAGCAACGCCGCGUGAAGGAUGAAAUCUUUCGGGAUGUAAACUU
This 409-nucleotide ribosomal RNA is filed under the name uncultured bacterium. RNAcentral describes it as "bacterial SSU rRNA". It matches the Rfam family "Bacterial small subunit ribosomal RNA", at positions 32 to 432 of the family's 1533-position model. The record is from RNAcentral.